Molecule: long non-coding RNA, 1033 nt
Filed under: Homo sapiens (human)
Lineage: Eukaryota; Metazoa; Chordata; Mammalia; Primates; Hominidae
Description: novel transcript
Source: RNAcentral
CUAGAUUUUGACUGCCGUUACGGAUCGGCUUAGAUAACGGGCCUGCGUUUUUGGCUGCCUUGGUACAGAAGACGGCAAAGGUGUCCAAGACACACAGGGCCACGGAAUCUCACAGGUGUCUGAGAAUUUCUCCUCUUGGGACUCUCAAAGGAUCCAGAACUGCAGCCAGUCCUCGCUUUGCUGUCCCUGUUCCUGUCCAUGUAUCUGGUCACGGUGCUGAGGAACCUGCUCAGCAUUCUGGCUGUUAGCUCUGACUCCCCGCUCCACACUCCCGUGUACUUCUUCCUCUCCAACCUGUGCUGGGCUGACAUGGGUUUCACCUCGGCCACGGUUCCCAAGAUGAUUGUGGACAUGCAGCCGCAUAGCAGAGUCAUCUCUCAUGCGGGCUGCCUGACACAGAUAUCUUUCUUGGUCCGUUUUGCAUGUAUAGAAGGCAUGCUCCUGACUGUGAUGGCCUAUGACUGCUUUGUAGCCAUCUGUCGCCCUCUGCACUACCCAGUCAUCGUGAAUCCUCACCUCUGUGUCUUCUUCGUUUUGGUGUCCUUUUUCCUCAGCCUGUUGGAUUCCCAGCUGCACAGUUGCAUUGUGUUACUAUUCACCAUCAUAAAGACUGUGGAAAUCUCUCAUUUUGUCUGUGACCCCUCUCAACUUCUCAAACUUGCCUGUUCUGACAGCGUCAUCAAUAGCGUAUUCAUAUAUUUCGAUAGUACUAUGUUUGGUUUUCUUCCCAUUUCAGGGAUCCUUUUGUCUUACUAUAAAAUUGUCCCCUCCAUUCUAAGGAUUUCAUCAUCAGAUGAGAAGUAUAAAGCCUUCUUCAACUGUGGCUCUCACCUAGCAGUUGUUUGCUGGUUUUAGGGAACAGGCAUUGGCAUGUACCUGAUUUCAGCUGUGUCACCACCCCCCAGGAAUGGUGUGGUGGCAUCAGUGAUGUACACUGUGGUCACCCCCAUGCUGAACCUUUUCAUCUGCAGCCUGAGAAACAGGGACAUACAAAGUGCCCUGCGGAGGCUGCGCAGCAGAACAGUGGAAUCUC